RNAcentral lists this ribosomal RNA (465 nucleotides) under uncultured bacterium. Its description in RNAcentral is "partial 16S ribosomal RNA". It matches the Rfam family "Bacterial small subunit ribosomal RNA", at positions 28 to 507 of the family's 1533-position model. The record is from RNAcentral.
GAUGAACGCUGGCGGCGUGCUUAACACAUGCAAGUCGAACGGAAAGGCUCCUGCUUGCAGGGGUACUCGAGUGGCGAACGGGUGAGUAACACGUGGGUGAUCUGCCCUGCACUUCGGGAUAAGCCUGGGAAACUGGGUCUAAUACCGGAUAGGACGAUGGUUUGGAGUCCAUUGUGGAAAGUUUUUCGGUGUGGGAUGAGCUCGCGGCCUAUCAGCUUGUUGGUGGGGUAAUGGCCUACCAAGGCGUCGACGGGUAGCCGGCCUGAGAGGGUGUACGGCCACAUUGGGCCUGCGAUACGGACCAGACUCCUACGGGAGGCAGCAGUGGGGAAUAUUGCACAAUGGGCGCAAGCCUGAUGCAGCGACGCCGCGUGGGGGAUGACGGCCUUCGGGUUGUAAACUCCUUUCGCUAGGGACGAAGCGCAAGUGACGGUACCUGGAGAAGAAGCACCGGCUAACUACGUG